AUUGAACGCUGGCGGCAUGCUUUACACAUGCAAGUCGAACGGCAGCGGGGCUUCGGUCCGCCGGCGAGUGGCGAACGGGUGAGUAAUGCAUCGGAACGUGCCCAGUCGUGGGGAUAACACAUCGAAAGAUGUGCUAAUACCGCAUACGUCCUGAGGGAGAAAGCGGGGGAUCUUCGGACCUCGCGCGAUUGGAGCGGCCGAUGUCGGAUUAGCUAGUUGGUGGGGUAAAAGCCCACCAAGGCGACGAUCCGUAGCGGGUCUGAGAGGAUGAUCCGCCACACUGGGACUGAGACACGGCCCAGACUCCUACGGGAGGCAGCAGUGGGGAAUAUUGGACAAUGGGCGAAAGCCUGAUCCAGCCAUGCCGCGUGAGUGAUGAAGGCCCUAGGGUUGUAAAGCUCUUUCACCGGGGAAGAUAAUGACGGUACCCGGAGAAGAAGCCCCGG
Molecule: ribosomal RNA, 446 nt
Filed under: uncultured bacterium
Lineage: Bacteria
Description: bacterial SSU rRNA
Rfam family: Bacterial small subunit ribosomal RNA
Source: RNAcentral